RNAcentral lists this long non-coding RNA (2156 nucleotides) under Helianthus annuus (common sunflower). RNAcentral's name for it is "hypothetical non coding rna". Lineage: Eukaryota; Viridiplantae; Streptophyta; Magnoliopsida; Asterales; Asteraceae. The record is from RNAcentral.
UUUCUUUCUUCUUUUCUCUAUACGUUGGUGUUCUAACCAAUAAUCACCGAUGCGAUGCUCUGUCCGAUCGAUUCAGGAACCAACUAACGGAUGCCAAAGUGCUAUACUUUGAGAGUUCGUUAAACGGAUGCCAAAGUAUUAUACUUUGAGAGUUCGUUAAAUGGAUGCCAAAGUACUAUACUUUGUGAUUUCGGUAAACGGAAUCCAAAGUGUUACACUUUGUGAAAUUCGUUAAGGUUCGAAUCUCGUGACUACCGUUAAGGUUUGAUUUGGGUUUUACACAAAUACGUAUUCCAUUCUGUUAAACUAUAUGUUUAACUACCAAAAAUACUCCCAACUACACUCUCACAAUCAAACAAACUAUUAAAUCAUCAGAAGUUCCAGAAUAAUAAAGUGCAUGCUUAAUUAUCAGAAGAAGUAGAAUCAAGAAGCUUGUUAACUCAAUCUUGCAUGCUUAUUAAUUUGACGCAUAACGAGCUAGGUGGCAGCUUGGGAAAAGAAGCAGGUCAAACGGCUUGAAUACGCGGAGAAAGAGCGAAAUCGGAUGAAAGGUAAGUUAAGCUUACACCCCCUUUUAAAUUACAAUACAUUUACUUGCGAGUAUUGAAUAUGAAUUAUGUUAAGUAAUUGAAAUAUGGUGUUCCGGCACGAUAUAAUGCAAGCCGGAACAAGUACGAAUGGUGAGAAACCAUAAAUUAUGGUAAAAAUGGUAAAAACGGUAAACUAGUCGGGUGAUGACAAAUAAAUAGGAAUUGUGAACAAUGAGCUAUGGGGUGAACCGUAAUGGGUAAAAGUGGUUAAAUAAUGAUCCGGACACGAGUUGACGGAUAAAAUAAAAGAUUUGGAAAGACACUAUUUUAGUAUAAGUCAUAACAGGUCAAAUGGUGUGAUAACGCCAUUUGACAAUAAUAACUAACGCGCUUGCUGAGUUUUGGUGAUUACAGGAAAGUAAUAUAAGUUUCGCGACGCUAUGAUUUGGUAGUUAAUAGCGAAAGGUCUUAUAGAAAGAUUAAUACUAUGACCCGAGCUAGGUACGCAUAAAUGAAAUUCUAGUUAAAUGCGAGAUUUUGGUCAAAUGCCUUCUUGAAUGCCUUGUCAUAAAAGAAGAGUUAAAGUUGACAAAAAUGCCCUUGAUUGACAAAAUCAAGUAAACGACCCUUACUGGUUAUUUAGGAAUUGGCUUUUCGAUCAAAUGAAUCAUUAGGAUAAGUGUCAAAAUGAAAGGCAUGGUCCUAGCGAGUCAAAUGCUUUAAAAUGUGUUUUGCCGUAAAAAGACAAACCGAGAGAUGGAACCGUGAAUUAAAUGGUAUACUGCAUAAAAUCCACCACAAUAAUAGUAGUGGUGGAAGACCAUUUGGUAAGUAACGUGAGAAUAUGAUGCUAGAAAAAAAAAAUAAGGGAGAAUUAUGCUUAAAAGCGCUUAAAUACCCUUAACGGGUCAAAAUAAGCGUGUAAGCAUAAGCGGAUUAAUAAUGCGUGAUAACCCGUGGUCUGAACUUUGUGUGAUAGGAAACAAUUAAAACAUGAUGUCUACAAAAAAAUUCAAGUGUAACAAACAAGUUGGUUUGAUAAUAGUUUGAAUGGGUCAAAAGUCUUUAAAACUCAAUUUUAAUCCGAUAGCUUGAAAUCCAGUAUUUUAUGAGUUUAGAUGUCGGGUGUUAACUCCAUAUGAUGGAUAAUUAAAUUACGAUCACAUAGGAAAAAGAAUCACGUAAAUUGGAUAAGUAGAUAAAAAGUUAUGACACUUUGAAGUUCGUUUUUCGAUUAAAACUAUAGCUGGGCAAAUGCAGCUCCAGAGAAACAACAUUCUGUCGAAUUGGGGGCGUGGCGUCGCGCGACGCCCACCCCUUACAACCGUCGCGUGCGGCGACGCCCUUAAACAUUGCAAUUUGUUUGAAUUUUGUUGUUUUGACUCAUGAAACUUGUUUUAAUAUGUAUUUAACUUAUCAAAACUAACUUUCAUGUUGGUUUUGAAUUUAGGUGAUUGAAUUAUGCACACGGAUGAAGAUCAAGCUCGAUGAAGAACCGAACACAUGAUAAUAAAGCUUUCGCGUUAAACCCUAUUUGAUUUCAUAAUGUGAAUUAUGGAAACACUUAAGAUUGGUAUUAUGAAUAUUUCAAACUUGUGUGAACACUCUUGAUGGAAAAGUUUUUAU